AGAAUCAACGCUGGCGGCGUGCCUAACACAUGCAAGUCGAACGAGAAAGGGGAGCAAUCCCUGAGUAAAGUGGCGCACGGGUGAGUAACACGUGACUAACCUACCCUGGAGUGGGGGAUAACUGAGGGAAACCUUAGCUAAUACCGCAUAAUACCUACGGGUCAAAGGAGCAAUUCGCUUCAGGAGGGGGUCGCGGCCGAUUAGUUAGUUGGCGGGGUAAUGGCCCACCAAGACUAUGAUCGGUAU
RNAcentral lists this ribosomal RNA (246 nucleotides) under uncultured bacterium. RNAcentral's name for it is "partial small subunit ribosomal RNA". It matches the Rfam family "Bacterial small subunit ribosomal RNA", at positions 26 to 286 of the family's 1533-position model. The record is from RNAcentral.